RNA transcript from Gorilla gorilla gorilla (western lowland gorilla), 2601 nucleotides. It is a transcript of the gene named phosphatidylinositol glycan anchor biosynthesis class C, with no coding region annotated. The record is from RefSeq and is a predicted model, not a curated record. The transcript has 3 exons. NCBI's taxonomy places the organism in Eukaryota, Metazoa, Chordata, Mammalia, Primates, Hominidae.
GUGUAAUAGCCUGGAUUCAGGCCUAGGGAAACUAGGAGGCAAGGUCUGGUCCAUGGCAACCCCAGGAUUUUCUAGGAUUUCCCUCUGUCUAAGAGCUAGGUAUAACUGUAAUUCUGAUUUAUUCUGAAGUGGGCCCAAGGUAAAUGAAAUCUGGUCUGCUGGAUCUUUCUCCAUUUCCCUAGGCUGGCUUGCAUUUCAUCAGACCUACGGAUAAUGAAAUGAGGGUCCAAGCUGUGCUUCAUUUGACAUCAGCCUUUCUUGUGUUCAGCAGGGAGAUGAUUUGCAGCUAGAGAAAAUACAGUAAACUCUACAUUGCAAUGAACAGCUUUGUAAGUAGGAAAACAGCAGGCCAAAUAAAGCUUUCCCUCUGGUUUCUGGCAGAAGUCUACACUUUAAUUUCCCCUUUCUAACCAAACCAUUAAUGAACUCAACAUUAUAGCAAGCUGUAGAAUGGUGAGAUUAUCUCAAGACCCUACUCUCUUUGACUUCUUACCCAGGUGUUCAACAACACUCACUUCCAUCUUAUUCUUGUUACACAUCUUAUUCUUGCUUGUGAGUGGAGCAAUGAAGUCUAUAAAAAAAAACAAAAACAAAAACAGAAAAACUUCUUUUUCAUUUUCUAUGAGAUGUUAGUGGAGCCAAACUGACUGGUCUAUUUCUGGGCAGUGGUAAAAAAUGAUCUUAGCUUCCCCGAAGUCCAAAAUCAAUUUUCCUUCAGUCCAGUUUAAGCUGACUACACUAAAGAGGGCUCCCAUCCAUUUAAAUGAUGGAGAACUUGUUAUUGGUACCUAACCUUUCAACUUCAGGGCCGGGGCAGGGGCUAGGGGGUCUGCAAGGCUUUAGCUUUAGAGAUCCAGGUAAUGGGUAUCCCUGGUGUUUUCAUGAAGAAAGUGUAAUUAAAUUUCUGUCGAGCUCAAUGAGAUUUAUCACCUGCCCAGAAAACAGAAACUAUUUUCGAGUUCUGAAGGGGCUUUAGAACACUUUAAUUACCUCAGCAGGGUGGGGAGGUGGGCCAUUAAACUGAACAGCAAGUCCACAGUGCUGAAGCGACAUUCUGUUAGCAUAUGCCAAAACACCUUCCUGUUUGAGCUAGUUUGGUGUUCUGAUCCAGAAACAGGAUCAGAAACUUUAUGUCUUGGAAUAUAUUCCACUGACAGCUAGAAUGUUUGCUUGAAACAUCAGGGUGACAUUUAUAUCCUCAGACAGCUUUUUCUUUUCAUCUUCACUUUACUGUAUCUACCCUUCCUGUCAUUGCUGAAAAAGCAUUGUUGUUGAUGAUACCAUUUACUGGGUCAAAAUUAGUUCUUUUGAGGAUAUGGGCAGUUGGGGUUUUUGCUCUUUCUUUUGCAUAAUUUUUAUAUUACUUACACAGUGCCGAAAUGCUUAAAGGCAAGUGCUGCAAAUAUUUGGGCUUUUUACAUGUAGAGCUACAAAGGUACCUCAUACAAUUGCCACUCCCAUAUGAAAGUUGCAGUACUAAAUUGGAAUACUGAGUUGCUAACAAAUUCUUAAGCUCACCAUCCUAGUAUUCAACAUAUAAGCAAAUUUACCUAAUCAAGACUAUAAUUUCAGGUUAUAUUUUCUUAAGCAUUCUGAAAAAUAACUUCAAAGCAGCAUGUUUUGGCCAAAUCAGGUAAAGGAGAUUGGAAAGCUGUAUCUGGAACAUGGGUGUAAUUUAUAUAUAAAAGACUCAAUUAUUAACAAGAAUGAUGAAUUACCCUCAUUCUUUUGGCUCUAUGUCAACGCUGCAAUUUGGUCUUAUGGUGACAUUCCUCUGGCCAGAUCUCUGAGGAGGUCUUCCUUAUAGCUUUUUUCUUUUCUGUUAAAAUCUCACAAAAAAGGCCAGGUGCAGUGGCUCAUGCCUGUAAUCCCAGCACUUUGGGAAGCUGAAGUGGGCGGAUCACUUGAGGUCAGGAGUUCGAGACCAGCCUGGCCAAUGUGGUGAAAUGCCGUCUCUACUAAAAAUGCAAAAAUUAGCCAGGCAUGGUGGCACAUGCCUGUAAUCCUAGCUACUGGGGAGGCUGAGGCAUAAGAAUCACUUGAACUUGGGAGGUGGAGGUUGCAGUGAGCCAAGAUCACACCACUGCAUUGCAGCCUGGGCAACAGAGUGAGACCCUGUCUCAAAAAAACAAAAAAACAAAACAAAACAAAACAAAAAAAAAAAACUCACAAAAAAUGCUCUGUUUGCUUUCUUUGCCCAUCCUUUAGGUAAGUUAAUAACCCAGAGCAGUGAGUGAGCCUGAAGGCUUGGGAAAGGGAGGAAAGAAAGGCAAUAGGAAUAGUCUUCAACAUUCUUCUCUGAUGAUUAAUCUUAAAUCAACCUGGAUGCCUUCCUUCACAAUAAUCUCAUGGAGGUAAUUUAAAGAAUCCCUUUUUUGGAGAGUCAGAGAGAAAAGCAAAAAAAUGAGCAUGAGGAAUUUGAAGACUGAGAGAUGAGUUGUGUAGCACCAACAUUUUCUUUCUGCCUGACCUUAAUACCUGAUGAAUUAAAAGGAUGUUUGGAAGAGUGAGAUAAGGGACACAUUGAAAACAGAGAGGCAAUCUGAAGGCUACCUUGACACAUCUGCAAAGCUCCCAGAUUCUGACUUUCACAAGACCUGC